UACGAAGGGGGCUAGCGUUGCUCGGAAUCACUGGGCGUAAAGCGCACGUAGGCGGAUCUUUAAGUCAGGGGUGAAAUCCUGGAGCUCAACUCCAGAACUGCCUUUGAUACUGAGGAUCUUGAGUCCGGGAGAGGUGAGUGGAACUCCGAGUGUAGAGGUGAAAUUCGUAGAUAUUCGGAAGAACACCAGUGGCGAAGGCGGCUCACUGGCCCGAUACUGACGCUGAGGCACGAAAGCGUGGGGAGCGAACAGG
This 253-nucleotide ribosomal RNA is filed under the name uncultured bacterium. RNAcentral's name for it is "partial 16S ribosomal RNA". It matches the Rfam family "Bacterial small subunit ribosomal RNA", at positions 524 to 776 of the family's 1533-position model. The record is from RNAcentral.